This 247-nucleotide ribosomal RNA is filed under the name uncultured crenarchaeote. RNAcentral's name for it is "partial 16S ribosomal RNA". It matches the Rfam family "Archaeal small subunit ribosomal RNA", at positions 478 to 725 of the family's 1478-position model. The record is from RNAcentral. Lineage: Archaea; Thermoproteati; Thermoproteota.
AGCUCUCCGAGUGGUGUGGACGUUUAUUGGGCCUAAAGCAUCCGUAGCUGGCUGAACAAGUCCCCUGUUAAACCCACCGAUUUAAUCGUUGGUCUGCGGGGGAUACUGCUCGGCUAGGGGACGAGAGAGGCAGGCGGUAUUCCCGGGGUAGGGGUGAAAUCCUAUAAUCCCGAGAAGACCACCAGUGGCGAAGGCUGCCUGCUAGAACGCGCCCGACGGUGAGGGAUGAAAGCUGGGGGAGCGAACC